GUUUGACCUUAUUACCACUUGUACACACACAACCCCCACCACGUCACGAUACACAUAAGUUUAAAUAGCAUCGACGUGGCCUCUCCACAGCACUACACUAUACACUACGUGUCGGACACAGCCGACCACAAGCCCACGGAACCCCGUGCUGACGCCUCCCCCAUUGGGACUAUCCACUAAAAGGAACCUGAAUAUUUUACUUGGACGGUUUUAAAUUUAAUUUUAAUUAACGACUCGCUUUGCUGGGUGAUUUUUUAAAAGCUAUUGGGACACCUGCA
Molecule: long non-coding RNA, 278 nt
Organism: Cryptotermes secundus
Lineage: Eukaryota; Metazoa; Arthropoda; Insecta; Blattodea; Kalotermitidae
Exons: 2
Source: RefSeq, a predicted model, not a curated record